AUUGAACGCUGGCGGCAGGCUUAACACAUUCAAGUCGAGCGAGCGGCGGACGGGUGAGUAAUGUCUGGGAAACUGCCUGAUGGAGGGGGAUCACUACUGGAAACGGUAGCUAAUACCGCAUACCAUCAGAUGUGCCCAGAUGGGAUUAGCUAGUAGGUGGGGUAAUGGCUCACCUAGGCGACGAUCCCUAGCUGGUCUGAGAGGAUGACCAGCCAAACUGGAACUGAGAAACGGUCCAGAGUCCUACGGGAGGUAGCAGUGGGGAAUAUUGCACAAGGGGCGCAAGCAUGAUGGAGACAUGCCGCGUGUAUGAAGAAGGCCGUCGGGUUGUAAAGCACUUUCAGCGGGGAGGCGUUACUCGCAGAAGAAGCACCGGCUAACUCCGUGCCAGCAGCCGCGGUAAUUC
RNAcentral lists this ribosomal RNA (406 nucleotides) under uncultured bacterium. RNAcentral describes it as "partial 16S ribosomal RNA". It matches the Rfam family "Bacterial small subunit ribosomal RNA", at positions 30 to 526 of the family's 1533-position model. The record is from RNAcentral.